This 451-nucleotide ribosomal RNA is filed under the name uncultured bacterium. RNAcentral describes it as "partial 16S ribosomal RNA". It matches the Rfam family "Bacterial small subunit ribosomal RNA", at positions 354 to 796 of the family's 1533-position model. The record is from RNAcentral.
GUGGGGAAUAUUGGACAAUGGGCGGAAGCCUGAUCCAGCCAUGCCGCGUGUGUGAAGAAGGCCUUUUGGUUGUAAAGCACUUUAAGCGAGGAGGAGGCUCUUAAGGUUAAUACCCUUGAUGAGUGGACGUUACUCGCAGAAUAAGCACCGGCUAACUCUGUGCCAGCAGCCGCGGUAAUACAGAGGGUGCGAGCGUUAAUCGGAUUUACUGGGCGUAAAGCGUGCGUAGGCGGCUGAUUAAGUCGGAUGUGAAAUCCCUGAGCUUAACUUAGGAAUUGCAUUCGAUACUGGUCAGCUAGAGUAUGGGAGAGGAUGGUAGAAUUCCAGGUGUAGCGGUGAAAUGCGUAGAGAUCUGGAGGAAUACCGAUGGCGAAGGCAGCCAUCUGGCCUAAUACUGACACUGAGGUGCGAAAGCAUGGGGAGCAAACAGGAUUAGAAACCCUAGUAGUCC